Molecule: ribosomal RNA, 253 nt
Filed under: uncultured bacterium
Lineage: Bacteria
Description: partial 16S ribosomal RNA
Rfam family: Bacterial small subunit ribosomal RNA
Source: RNAcentral
GACGAACCGUGCGAACGUUGUUCGGAAUCACUGGGCUUAAAGGGCGCGUAGGCGGGCGAGCGAGUCCGGGGUGAAAGCUUUCGGCUUAACCGGAAAAGGGCCUCGGAUACCGGUCGCCUGGAGGGAGGUAGGGGUCCGCGGAACUGCUGGUGGAGCGGUGAAAUGCGUUGAUAUCAGCAGGAACGCCGGUGGCGAAAGCGGCGGACUGGACCUCUUCUGACGCUGAGGCGCGAAAGCCAGGGGAGCGAACGGG